Molecule: long non-coding RNA, 845 nt
Organism: Ixodes scapularis (black-legged tick)
Lineage: Eukaryota; Metazoa; Arthropoda; Arachnida; Ixodida; Ixodidae
Exons: 16
Source: RefSeq, a predicted model, not a curated record
UCAGAAACCAUUGUCUCUUCAGGAGCAACAUCCCUUCUUUAAGGAAGGAGCAUCAGAAACCAUUGUCUCUUCAAGAGCAACAUUCCUUCUUUAAGGAAGAAGCAUCAGAAACCAUUGUCUCUUCAAGAGCAACAUUCCUUCUUUAAGGAAGAAGUCUCAGAAACCAUUGUCUCUUCAAGAGCAACAUUCCUUCUUUAAGGAAGAAGCAUCAGAAACCAUCGUCUCUUCAAGAGCAACAUUCCUUCUUUAAGGAAGAAGUCUCAGAAACCAUUGUCUCUUCAAGAGCAACAUUCCUUCUUUAAGGAAGAAGCAUCAGAAACCAUCGUCUCUUCAAGAGCAACAUUCCUUCUUUAAGGAAGAAGCAUCAGAAACCAUUGUCUCUUCAAGAGCAACAUUCCUUCUUUAAGGAAGAAGCAUCAGAAACCAUUGUCUCUUCAAGAGCAACAUUCCUUCUUUAAGGAAGAAGCAUCAGAAACCAUUGUCUCUUCAAGAGCAACAUUCCUUCUUUAAGGAAGAAGCAUCAGAAACCAUUGUCUCUUCAAGAGCAACAUUCCUUCUUUAAGGAAGAAGCAUCAGAAACCAUUGUCUCUUCAAGAGCAACAUUCCUUCUUUAAGGAAGAAGCAUCAGAAACCAUUGUCUCUUCAAGAGCAACAUUCCUUCUUUAAGGAAGAAGCAUCAGAAACCAUUGUCUCUUCAAGAGCAACAUUCCUUCUUUAAGGAAGAAGUCUCAGAAACCAUUGUCUCUUCAAGAGCAACAUUCCUUCUUUAAGGAAGAAGCAUCAGAAACCAUCGUCUCUUCAAGAGCAACAUUCCUUCUUUAAGGUGAGUGGUUUUGCCUAGUUUC